This 229-nucleotide ribosomal RNA is filed under the name uncultured bacterium. RNAcentral describes it as "partial 16S ribosomal RNA". It matches the Rfam family "Bacterial small subunit ribosomal RNA", at positions 568 to 796 of the family's 1533-position model. The record is from RNAcentral.
UACGUAGGCGGAAGAUUAAGUCAGUGGUGAAAUCCUGCAGCUUAACUGUAGAACUGUCAUUGAUACUGGUUUUCUUGAAUUUAGUUGAGGUAGGCGGAAUGUGUAAUGUAGCGGUGAAAUGCUUAGAUAUUACACAGAACACCGAUUGCGAAGGCAGCUUACUAAACUAUGAUUGACGCUGAGGUACGAAAGCGUGGGGAGCGAACAGGAUUAGAUACCCUGGUAGUCU